Molecule: ribosomal RNA, 944 nt
Filed under: uncultured bacterium
Lineage: Bacteria
Description: bacterial SSU rRNA
Rfam family: Bacterial small subunit ribosomal RNA
Source: RNAcentral
GGAAUUACUGGGCGUAAAGCGCACGCAGGCGGUUUGUUAAGUCAGAUGUGAAAUCCCCGCGCUUAACGUGGGAACUGCAUUUGAAACUGGCAAGCUAGAGUCUUGUAGAGGGGGGUAGAAUUCCAGGUGUAGCGGUGAAAUGCGUAGAGAUCUGGAGGAAUACCGGUGGCGAAGGCGGCCCCCUGGACAAAGACUGACGCUCAGGUGCGAAAGCGUGGGGAAGCAACAGGAUUAGAUACCCUGGUAGUCCACGCUGUAAACGAUGUCGACUUGGAGGUUGUGCCCUUGAGGCGUGGCUUCCGGAGCUAACGCGUUAAGUCGACCGCCUGGGGAGUACGGCCGCAAGGUUAAAACUCAAAUGAAUUGACGGGGGCCCGCACAAGCGGUGGAGCAUGUGGUUUAAUUCGAUGCAACGCGAAGAACCUUACCUACUCUUGACAUCCACGGAAUUCGCCAGAGAUGGCUUAGUGCCUUCGGGAACCGUGAGACAGGUGCUGCAUGGCUGUCGUCAGCUCGUGUUGUGAAAUGUUGGGUUAAGUCCCGCAACGAGCGCAACCCUUAUCCUUUGUUGCCAGCACGUAAUGGUGGGAACUCAAAGGAGACUGCCGGUGAUAAACCGGAGGAAGGUGGGGAUGACGUCAAGUCAUCAUGGCCCUUACGAGUAGGGCUACACACGUGCUACAAUGGCAUAUACAAAGAGAAGCGAACUCGCGAGAGCAAGCGGACCUCAUAAAGUAUGUCGUAGUCCGGAUUGGAGUCUGCAACUCGACUCCAUGAAGUCGGAAUCGCUAGUAAUCGUAGAUCAGAAUGCUACGGUGAAUACGUUCCUGGGCCUUGUACACACCGCCCGUCACACCAUGGGAGUGGGUUGCAAAAGAAGUAGGUAGCUUAACCUUCGGGAGGGCGCUUACCACUUUGUGAUUCAUGACUGGGGUGAAGUCGUA